RNAcentral lists this signal recognition particle RNA (304 nucleotides) under Triticum aestivum (bread wheat). RNAcentral's name for it is "SRP RNA Plant_SRP". It matches the Rfam family "Plant signal recognition particle RNA". Lineage: Eukaryota; Viridiplantae; Streptophyta; Magnoliopsida; Poales; Poaceae. The record is from Rfam by way of RNAcentral.
GCUGAGCUCAGUUGUGAGAGUUUGUAACCCGAGUGGGGGCAUUAAAGUGAUGUGAACGCUGUUAUAGCGCUGCGGGCCUGGUCUGGGUGUGCUACUGUUGGCCCGUCCGUUCCAAGUUGAGUAGUGGACCGUCUGAGGCCUAUGCGAAAGCUGGGCCUCACGGUCCAUAAUGUGGCAGGCACAGCGUGGGGCUGGCUUCACAGAGCAGCGACAACUGCCCACUUCCAACGGUGGAAGGAUAACGGGCCGCUGCACUCCUAGGCCACUUGGGCCUUGCAGCCUACUCCAAUGAACCAUCAUUUUU